GACGAACGCUGGCGGCGUGCUUAACACAUGCAAGUCGAACGGUAAGGCCCGGCGUUUGCGCUGUGCGGAUGUGUCGAAAACGGGAGUGACACGUGAGUGUCCCGCGCUCUACUCUCUGGUAUCUGCCGGAGACUCGGGGUAUUAUCCUGGAUACGCUACGGCAGCGUAGGGUGGUUUGUAGAGUUUCGGCGGUUGGGGAUGGACUCGCGGCUUAUCAGCUUGUUGGUGGGGUAGGGGCUUACCAAGGCUUUGACGGGUAGCCGGCCUGAGAGGGUGACCGGCCACACUGGGACUGAGACACGGCCCAGACUCCUACGGGAGGCAGCAGUGGGGAAUAUUGCACAAUGGGCGGAAGCCUGAUGCAGCAACGCCGCGUGAGGGAUGACGGCCUUCGGGUUGUAAACCUCUUUCGGCAGUGAAGAAGCGUGAGUGACGGUAAUGGGUGAAGAAGCACCGGCUAACUACGUG
Molecule: ribosomal RNA, 468 nt
Filed under: uncultured bacterium
Lineage: Bacteria
Description: partial 16S ribosomal RNA
Rfam family: Bacterial small subunit ribosomal RNA
Source: RNAcentral